CAUCAUGGCUCAGGACGAACGCUGGCGGCGUGCCUAACACAUGCAAGUCGAGCGGGGAACAGACGGUAGCUUGCUACUGUUUGUUUCUAGCGGCGGACGGGUGAGUAACACGUGAGCAACCUGCCUUUAUCAGGGGGAUAACGCAUCGAAAGAUGUGCUAAUACCGCGUAAGACCACAGCUUCACAUGGAGCGGGGGUCAAAGGAGCAAUCCGGAUAAAGAUGGGCUCGCGUCCGAUUAG
RNAcentral lists this ribosomal RNA (240 nucleotides) under uncultured bacterium. Its description in RNAcentral is "partial 16S ribosomal RNA". It matches the Rfam family "Bacterial small subunit ribosomal RNA", at positions 15 to 244 of the family's 1533-position model. The record is from RNAcentral.